Molecule: unclassified non-coding RNA, 245 nt
Filed under: plant metagenome
Description: partial contains small subunit ribosomal RNA, internal transcribed spacer 1, and 5.8S ribosomal RNA
Source: RNAcentral
UCUCCGUUGGUGAACCAGCGGAGGGAUCAUUACCGAGUUUACAACUCCCAAACCCCAUGUGAACGUUACCAAACUGUUGCCUCGGCGGGGUCACGCCCCGGGUGCGUCGCAGCCCCGGAGCCAGGCGCCCGCCGGAGGAACCAACCAAACUCUUUCUGUAGUCCCCUAGCGGACGUUAUUUCUUACAGCUCUGAGCAAAAAUUCAAAAUGAAUCAAAACUUUCAACAACGGAUCUCUUGGUUCUG